This is a long non-coding RNA of Magnolia sinica, 1083 nucleotides long. RefSeq lists it as uncharacterized. Lineage: Eukaryota; Viridiplantae; Streptophyta; Magnoliopsida; Magnoliales; Magnoliaceae. The record is from RefSeq and is a predicted model, not a curated record. The transcript is spliced from 2 exons.
UCACUGAUUAUGUAACAUACUUAGAUUUCAUUUCGUUAUACAAAUUUUUUAUACACAUUUAAACCAAAUCUGCUUUUUUAUAUGAAAGAGCAAUUUGCACUAUUGGAGCCAAAUAAGAAUGGGUGCAUCUCACUAGAAAACAUAAGAAUGGUUAGUUUCUUUCUGUAAUAUUUAGAUUUCUUACUGGGCAUGUUUACAGUUGGUUGUUAAGCUACAAUGCUCAGUUACUUCUGUUGAUGAUUACUAUUGAAUAUUUUGGCCAAGCAUUGGUGAAAAAUGCAACAGAUGCUAUGAAGGAAUCCCGCAUUCAUGAUUUUCUUGCUUUGAAAGAUGGACUUUCACACCAGCAGCUUUAUGGUCAGAAGCUAACAAACAUGUCUACACACAAAUAAGAGAGAGAGGAUCCAUUCCAGUGUAAAGAAGAAUCAUCAACACCUGAUGAAAGGGCGCCGUUCUUUGAAGUGGACAUAGUCCUUGAUGUUGUCUCCUUCCAACUUGAGGCUGGCCCACCACACCAAAUCGCCUUCCACCUUUAGAGAACCCCCCCAACAGUGGUGGUAGAAGCAGCAGCAUUGUCACAGGGAACUUGAAGAGGACGAUUAUUCAGCUUCGGACAUCCACUCACUCUCAGUUUCUCCAAUGCCGGCAGGCACACCUCACCACAAAUACUCUCCAGCUUAGGUAGCUCCCACAAACAUUGUACGUAGUCUUUGGAGUGAGCCUUUAGCUACCCCUCGAAACACCGCCUCCAGUCUAUUGCAGAAUUUGAUAUGGAGAGUUUUCAGGCUUUCUAAGCAUACAACCGAGGAGAAGACGACCACGAGUCUCAGGCAACAAUCUAGAUAUAUGUGCAAUUCCUGAAAAAACACAACCAAGGAAAAAUUCUCUCAAUGAAGCCAGCAGCAGCGGCAGCAGCAGCAAUGACAGAAAUCCUGGAUGUACAGCAACAACAGCAAUGGCAGUGUGUUUGUUUUGAAAACUUUAAAUAUACGAUUAAUUGUUUUGUUGGUAUUGUGCUGAUUGUUGUCUUGAUGGAUGUUAAAUGGGUGAAACAUGCACAGUUCAAUCAUUGGUUGAUUAUAA